RNAcentral lists this long non-coding RNA (409 nucleotides) under Salvia miltiorrhiza (redroot sage). Its description in RNAcentral is "long non-coding RNA (SMIL_LNC003523)". Lineage: Eukaryota; Viridiplantae; Streptophyta; Magnoliopsida; Lamiales; Lamiaceae. The record is from RNAcentral.
AGGACGGCGAAGGCGGCGAGAGCCACCACGACAGGAAGCAACGCAGAGAGAAGAUGAAUACUGGAAUUGAGAUGCAGAUGAGGGAGGAGGGGCUGGAAUUGAGAUGCAGACGAGGGAAUAGGGAAUUAGAGGUGAUUUCUAUCGUCUGGGAAAAGAGGAGAUUUACAGCUGGAGACGUGGGCGGCGCAGUUGAUCUUUUGUGUGUAAACCCUAAAUUGAGUAGAGAUGUGUGGUUAUACCUGCAAAAUAUGUAAUGGGCUUUUAGCAAUAUGUAUUUAAAUAAUUAAUGUAUAAUGGGCUUUUAGCAUGUAAUUUUUUUUUAUAAAUCAUGAAGAUAUUGAGUCAGCCUCACAAAUCACGAGAGUAAUUAAAUUAUCUUUGUUACUUUAUUAGUAUUUUAUUUCAUUAU